Molecule: ribosomal RNA, 460 nt
Filed under: uncultured bacterium
Lineage: Bacteria
Description: partial 16S ribosomal RNA
Rfam family: Bacterial small subunit ribosomal RNA
Source: RNAcentral
CCUACGGGAGGCAGCAGUGAGGAAUAUUGGUCAAUGGACGAGAGUCUGAACCAGCCAAGUAGCGUGAAGGAUGACUGCCCUAUGGGUUGUAAACUUCUUUUAUAUGGGAAUAAAAUGUUCCACGUGUGGGAUUUUGUAUGUACCAUAUGAAUAAGGAUCGGCUAACUCCGUGCCAGCAGCCGCGGUAAUACGGAGGAUCCGAGCGUUAUCCGGAUUUAUUGGGUUUAAAGGUAGCGUAGGUGGAUUGUUAAGUCAGUUGUGAAAGUUUGCGGAUCAACCGUAAAAUUGCAGUUGAAACUGGCAGUCUUGAGUACAGUAGAGGUGGGCGGAAUUCGUGGUGUAGCGGUGAAAUGCUUAGAUAUCACGAAGAACUCCGAUUGCGAAGGCAGUUCACUGGACUGCAACUGACACUGAGGCUCGAAAGUGUGGGUAUCAAACAGGAUUAGAUACCCGAGUAGUC